Long non-coding RNA from Cryptomeria japonica (Japanese cedar), 625 nucleotides. RefSeq lists it as uncharacterized. The transcript is spliced from 2 exons. The record is from RefSeq and is a predicted model, not a curated record. NCBI's taxonomy places the organism in Eukaryota, Viridiplantae, Streptophyta, Pinopsida, Cupressales, Cupressaceae.
AUGGGGCCUGGAGGUCCGGGGGGGGGGGGGAGGGGGAGGAGGAGGGGGACCUGGAGGCGGUUUUGGACCAGGUGGAUUUGGCCCCGGACCAGGUGGAUUCGGCCCUGGACCAGGAGGUCCGGGGGGAGGGGGACCUGGAGGCGGUUUUGGACCAGGUGGAUUCGGCCCUGGACCAGGCGGUUUUGGCCCCGGACCAGGUGGUUUUGGACCAGGUGGUUUUGGCCCUGGACCAGGUGGUUUUGGACCAGGUCCAUGGGGAAUGGGACCUCCUCCUAUGCUUGGAAAUUACUGGGGAGGUGGUUUUGGGGGCUGGGGUGGCGGAUUCGGGGGUUGUAUAUAUGAUAUCUUGCAGUGCUUGUGUUGUUGCUGGCUGUUAGAGAUGUGCUGUGGAGGAUGCUGCCCACCAUUUGGAGGAGGUCCACCACCUCCUUAUUACUGAAUUGCUAUUUCUGCUAAAUUUUAGAGUGUCGCUAAAAUAAGAUAUACAUUUUCUUUUGCGGGCUGUGCAUCUCUUCAGAGGAACGUGCAGUUUUGAAACUGAUAUACUUAUUUAUCUCUCAACUUUUGAUGUUUAAAAUUUUCAGAACUUUAACAUGUGAGAUAAUGUGAAAAGAUUUUCGAGGAA